Cotesia glomerata is the source of this 694-nucleotide long non-coding RNA. RefSeq lists it as uncharacterized. Lineage: Eukaryota; Metazoa; Arthropoda; Insecta; Hymenoptera; Braconidae. The record is from RefSeq and is a predicted model, not a curated record. The transcript is spliced from 3 exons.
UAUUUUCUAUACUUACAAUCAGCUCUCGUGAAAGAUGUAACGAACUUUCACUGUGCAGAAUUAUUGCUUGUGUCAACAGUGGAUGAAUGAGCUACUCUUGAAGCGCAUGUCGAUUAUUAAUGUGUAAUAACCGGAGUCUGAAAAACUGCUAUAUCGACGAAGAACUUGGGUUUCAUUCAUUUCCGUAAAGCCCGUAGAUAAUACUCUGUAAGUUGUAAUUGAUAAUGAUAAUAAUCAACUAAUCAAGCAAGCUCGAUGUAAAAAUCAUUCCGCAACUGAUGAGAUAAGGACUCACUCUAGUCCAAAACUUGUUGUGAAGAUGAUCUCGCAAUAGUUCUGAAAAUAAGUGACAAUUAUUAUUUUAUCACUACAUACUUUACUUUUAUUCAUGAUCAGCGUAGUAAUGGACAGUUAUAAGUUAUAAGUUAUAAUCGUUGUAGCAAAUCAGGAUAAAAUAAUAAUAAAGAUAGCGACCACUGCUCGGUUAAAUAACCGAAUGAAUAAAAUACUUUGUUAAACAAACGGUAAUUAAUAUUAUUCAAUUUGUAAUGACUUUACUUUGAUUUUAGAUUGUUAAAUUAAUGAUCGGAAAUGCUAAAAAUUGCAUUCGUUAAACGCUGUGCGGUAAAAUAAAAUAAAAUAUAAAUGAAUGCGAAAAUAUUUAAAUAUUUAAAUAUUAAAAACUGGUCAAAAA